AGGACGUUAGUUGAAUCACGAUCCAUGGUUAACGUAUCUGGAAAUAACAACACGUUGUUUUUCGGCGGCAACAACACAGUUAACAACUUGGAGACGAAAUCGAAAGGUCAUAGAGAUGAUGCAGCUGGGGUUGCUCGGGCAUCCACCGCGUGUUUUGAUGAUGCGGUGGAACCACCCCAGCAUCGAGGUCCUCGGUAGGCAUCCGAACCACUAACAGCUGUUCGCGAGGACCAAUCUUCGGCGCCCGGGAUAGCUGAA
Patiria miniata (bat star) is the source of this 258-nucleotide long non-coding RNA. RefSeq lists it as uncharacterized. The record is from RefSeq and is a predicted model, not a curated record. The transcript has 3 exons. Lineage: Eukaryota; Metazoa; Echinodermata; Asteroidea; Valvatida; Asterinidae.